AUGACGUCAAGUCCUCAUGCCUACUGUCCAGGGCUACACACGUGCUACAAUGGCCGGUACAAAGGGGCGCAAGACCGCGAGGUGGAGCAAAUCCCAAAAAACCGGUCUCAGUUCGGAUUGGAGUCUGCAACUCGACUCCAUGAAGUUGGAAUCGCUAGUAAUCGCGUAUCAGCAUGACGCGGUGAAUACGUUCCCGGGCCUU
This 202-nucleotide ribosomal RNA is filed under the name uncultured Desulfuromonas sp. RNAcentral describes it as "partial 16S ribosomal RNA". It matches the Rfam family "Bacterial small subunit ribosomal RNA", at positions 1179 to 1382 of the family's 1533-position model. The record is from RNAcentral. Lineage: Bacteria; Pseudomonadati; Thermodesulfobacteriota; Desulfuromonadia; Desulfuromonadales; Desulfuromonadaceae.